CUUGAUGCUGGCUUUUAAGCACUGUGCUCAGCCCCGCUCCAAUCCAUUCAACCCCUGUGCACUAUUCGGAGUGUUGCAAGCUGAGACAAUGUGGGCGUAGUCUAAGGCUACUACCUUGCGGUCCAGGCUUGUCCUCUGGUUAUGUUACAAACACGUUUAUUGUCUUGUAUAAUGGAUUUGCCUCUUGUUGGGCGAAACUUAAAUACAACUUUCAACAACGGAUCUCUUGGCUCUCGCAUCUGUGAAUAACGCAGCGAAAUGCGAUAAGUAAUGUGAAUUGCAAAAGUCAAUGAAUCAUCUAAUCUUUGAACGCACCUUGCGCUCCUUGCUUAUUCCCAGGAGCAUGCCUGAUUAACUGGCAUGUUAAUAUCAACUCCGAUGGUUUUUAUAACUAUUGGGUGUUGGACUUGGAGGUUCGAGCUGGCUGCAAAGUCUGCUCCUCUUGAAUGCAUUACCUUGGAGCUGUGCCCGGUUGCUAGCCGUGUAAUACAUUUUAUUCACCACUUGCCGUGUCCCUAUUAGGGGCUGCUUCUAAUCGCCCUCACGGACAAUAUAAACUUAUGACUUUGACCUCUAAUCUUGUACGACUACCCGCUGAACUU
This is a ribosomal RNA of 602 nucleotides. The stretch from base 207 to 361 matches the Rfam family "5.8S ribosomal RNA".